CAGCAGCCGCGGGAAUACGUAGGGUGCAAGCGUUAAUCAGAAUUACUGGGCGUAAAGCGUGCGCAGGCGGUUUGUUAAGACGGAUGUGAAAUCCCCGGGCUCAACCUGGGAACUGCAUUCGUGACUGGCAAGCUAGAGUAUGGCAGAGGGGGGUGGAAUUCCACGUGUAGCAGUGAAAUGCGUAGAGAUGUGGAGGAACACCGAUGGCGAAGGCAGCCCCCUGGGCCAAUACUGACGCUCAUGCACGAAAGCGUAGGGAGCAAACAGGAUUAGAUAACCGAGUAGUCCCUGUCUCUUAUAA
RNAcentral lists this ribosomal RNA (301 nucleotides) under uncultured bacterium. Its description in RNAcentral is "partial 16S ribosomal RNA". It matches the Rfam family "Bacterial small subunit ribosomal RNA", at positions 509 to 809 of the family's 1533-position model. The record is from RNAcentral.